Clupea harengus (Atlantic herring) is the source of this 2562-nucleotide long non-coding RNA. The record is from Ensembl. NCBI's taxonomy places the organism in Eukaryota, Metazoa, Chordata, Actinopteri, Clupeiformes, Clupeidae.
UAAAGGCCAGGCUGUAAAUUCUCCUGCUCGCCUCAGUAGCGCCCGGAGAGUAAUGACCAAGGGAUUUCUCCUGGCGUGAACAGCACCUUAGUUGUCCCAGGUGUUUAAGCUGUGCUCAGAGUGGCAUAAUAGAGUGGCGACUGUUAAGUGCUUUCCCUGAUCAUCCUGUUGUGAAAAAUAAAAAAUAUUGCAAUUACGGAGCCACAAGGAUAAACAACAUCAAAACAUAAAAAAAACAAAUAGAAUGUGUUCUGGAUGACCUGUUUUGACAUCAGAGGACCAAAAUAUGAAGCUUGAUGGCACUUUAAAAAGCUUUGGGGCCUAAACAUUUGUCUUGUUGUCCCUGUGGAGAUGACUUUUCAAAUUCAAGCCAUCAAAAGUGUUUAUAUUUUUUUUUAGAGUUCCAAAAAUAGUUUUGACAUCUGAGGUCUGUUCUUUAAAGAAUCCCCUUGCUGGAACCUUUCCUCCCAUGACGAACUGAAAAAGCCACGGUGGAGCACUCUUCUCUUCGCAGAGAGUAGCCACUGAAAAUGACCAGACCUGCGUUAUCUUUUUAUCUUGGCGGCUUCCAUCGUGUUGCUGAUCAAAGGCGGAAGGAAAUGAAAGGUAGAGUGGAACAUAUCUCUCGGAGAGGCAGUGAUGUGAGAGCCAAUCACGCACGGCGAAUAACAAAGGAGCCCAAUGCCAAGGAGACACACAAUACUAUUCUAUUGAUUAGUCCAUCUAAUCCAUUGACAGAAGGCUGAGAUGGGAGAGGAUACAUCUGGACACAGGGAGAGUGGUCUAUUUAGUGGGAUUAAAUGGGCCUACUCGUAAACGACAGCGGCUCUCGGACAGAAGUGGGUCCUCAGCGCAUAGAACCAGAGCAUCUACACAGUUAGUUUGAAGACAGAAUUAGGAGAAUGUAUGAAGUCACGGUUGGGUGACAUGAAUUUGACAGGGUUAGGCCAAUGAUGAAAUAGUGGUUUAGGUGCUCACUGUGAAAAAGCAGAAAAGCUGUUGGUUGGCCUAUUUUUAAACAUUGGCAGGCGCUAUAGUUAAAUUGCACACAGGAGAAGGUAUUGUAACGUGCAAGAGCUCUCACAUUGCUGAGGGAAGAGACUUGGAGUGAUCCCAGCAUGCCAGGCGGUAGAAGGCUUGUUAGAGAACUGAAACUCACUGUUAACUGUGCUGUCUGUGUCAUAUGCCAUUAAAUGUCUGUGUGUGAUAGCCCCUGUGUUAGUUAGUGUAUCUGUGCAUCGCCAGCAUCUUUGCAAUGUCAAAGUAGACCAUCUCUGUCUUUCGUCUCACUCAGUGUGUAUCAGUGUUUUCUUGCCUGUUGCUUAAAAAAAAUAAAGGUUUGCAGCCACAAGACACGACGAUUGCAAGUUGUCUUCUUCGAAGAAUCCACUGACGCUACAGUACUGUACAUGCCAUGAAGUCAUGGCAAAAGUAGGACAGAAGAUAUAGAGUGGUGCAAUAUGAAAUGUUUGAAAGGACUGCACAUCCCAUGACAUGAUAUCUCAAUUUAUACUGCAUUGAUCUUCCAGUUUCAACAAUUGAAAAGCAUCUUUUGACCUCCACUGAGCUAUAUAAUUACAUCUGUACUGUAAAAGAGAACCCCUACAAAUCCUGUGUGCAUCCUUUAAAAAAAGAAAAAAAGAUCCUCUUUCCACAUGAAACACAACAAAUAUCUUGCACAUUUUUUUUCAGCUAUGACCACUGGCAAACAGCGAGAAGCUCCAUCUUUCUGCACUUGAGGCAGUGAGGGGAAUCUAAAGCUUACAUAACGUCCAUUUUAGCAGUGAGCUCUAGAUAACUGCAGGGCAUCUCUCCCUUUCACCAUACCAGCCACUGAUGUGUAAGACAGUAUAAUGUUAUCUAAACACGGCCCACUCAAGCCAAUUACUCUCUAUUAUUUCAUCACCUUCUGUGAUCUGCGCUUGACUUUAGAUCUGGACAGAUGCGGCCAAUAAUUGAUAGAGUGAGCAGUUCAAUACGUGAACGUGUCUAUUCCGGAAUCAAACAUAUUUCCAAAUAUAACUAUUGUGUACGUUUGUUUAUUGUGUGGUCGUGUGUAUAUAUCUGGAAGUCUUUGUUUCCCAAACAAUAAACUGAGGGUAUAAAAAAAAUAUAUAUAUAUUCUGGCCCUAUAUUUCCACAGACACAAAGUACUGUUUAGGGGCAAAGCAGCUAAGUCUGUUUAGUUAUUCUUUCAUGUCAUUUCCAUGAUUACUGUCACAGUUCAAAAGUUCAGUGCUGCUACCUGCUCGAUGAAAAUGACUUUGGAUCGAUGGAUAAAGCAAAGGCAUUGGGAUAUUGCUUCAGUGUCUUUCCAUCAUGAUAGACAUCCUGUUCAGCACGUUUCACCAUUAUCCAUGGGCUACUGGGAUAGAAUAUUAUUGGUUGGCUUCGAUCCACUGUGACAUCAGAUUCACAGAGAUUUCAAAGUAAUAUCCUUUUGUGUGUGUGUGAGAGAUCGACAGAGAUAGAGAGAGAGAGAGAGAGAGAAAGAAAGAGAGAGAGAGAAACCAAGACAGAAAGAAAGAUAGACAUAAUGAGGGAGAGCGUGGUCAGUGGCUU